This 460-nucleotide ribosomal RNA is filed under the name uncultured bacterium. Its description in RNAcentral is "partial 16S ribosomal RNA". It matches the Rfam family "Bacterial small subunit ribosomal RNA", at positions 338 to 795 of the family's 1533-position model. The record is from RNAcentral.
CCUACGGGUGGCAGCAGUGAGGAAUAUUGGUCAAUGGACGAGAGUCUGAACCAGCCAAGUAGCGUGAAGGAUGACUGCCCUAUGGGUUGUAAACUUCUUUUAUAUGGGAAUAAAAUGUUCCACGUGUGGGAUUUUGUAUGUACCAUAUGAAUAAGGAUCGGCUAACUCCGUUCCAGCAGCCGCGGUAAUACGGAGGAUCCGAGCGUUAUCCGGAUUUAUUGGGUUUACAGGGAGCGUAGGUGGAUUGUUAAGUCAGUUGUGAAAGUUUGCGGCUCAACCGUAAAAUUGCAGUUGAAACUGGCAGUCUUGAGUACAGUAGAGGUGGGCGGAAUUCGUGGUGUAGCGGUGAAAUGCUUAGAUAUCACGAAGAACUCCGAUUGCGAAGGCAGUUCACUGGACUGCAACUGACACUGAGGCUCGAAAGUGUGGGUAUCAAACAGGAUUAGAUACCCUUGUAGUC